RNAcentral lists this transfer RNA (106 nucleotides) under Candidatus Bathyarchaeota archaeon. Its description in RNAcentral is "tRNA-Leu". It matches the Rfam family "tRNA". Rfam says of the family: Transfer RNA (tRNA) molecules are approximately 80 nucleotides in length. Lineage: Archaea; Thermoproteati; Candidatus Bathyarchaeota. The record is from RNAcentral.
GCGGGGGUAGCAGAGCCAGGUCAAUCCUCGCGCAGGGUCUGUAUGCGCGGGACUCAAGAUCCCGUCCCGUAGGGGUACGUGGGUUCGAAUCCCACCCCCCGCACCA